CACUACAAGAAAACAUAGCCAUUUCCGAGAAAAAUUUCCGACAAAAUGUUUGGUCGGAAAUUUUCCGACAGGUUUCCGACGAGUUUCCGAUAAGAUUCCGAGAAAAAAAAAAUUCGUCGGAAAAUCGUCGAAAAAAGAGAAAAAUUUCCGACGACCACAAAUUCGUCGGAACUUUGUCGGAAUGAUUCAUCGGAAAACAUGGAAAAUUUUGACUAUUUAAUUUUGUCAGAAAUUGGUCGGAAAUUGGUCGGAAACUGGUCGGAAAACUCGUCGUAAAUAUUAGGUGAACACAUGUUUAUUCACUGCACAUUUCCCGACAAAAUUCAGACGCUUUGGUCGGAAAUAUUAGUCGGAAAAAUCGUCAGAAAUUAUGAGUAUCAACCUUUAAUAUUUCCGACGAAUUUCCGACGAAACUUAAGUCGGAAAGUUUUGUUAGUCGGAAAUUUGUCGGAAAGUUUAGUCGGAAAUUCGUCGGAAAUUAUUUAUUUAAUCAUUUUUAUUUAAAAAAAAAACAAAAAAUAAAUAAUUUAUAAUAAAUAAAUAAUUAAUUUCGUCGGAAAGUCGUCAGAAAUAUUAUUUUGAAUUUUUUUUUGAAAAAAUUAAAUAAUUUAUAAUUAAGUAAAUAAUUAAUUAAUAAUUAAUUUCGUCGGAAAUUCGUCAGAAAUUUCUACGUUCGUCGGAAUUUCGUCGGAAAAUGUAUGAUUUUUCAUGUUCCCGCCUUUGUACAUUCAAUUCAAAUGAAUUUACCGCGUUUUGUAGUUUCCGACAAAUUUCCGACGAAGUACAUUGUCGGAAAUUUUUUCUAUAUAUACCAAAUGAGUUUUCAUCCAUUUCACAAUUCCAAACACAACAAUCUCAAUCUCUAUUAACAUCUUCUUCUCUCUACUUCAAACAUCAUUCCUUUUUUUAAAGUUCAACAUUUCAUUCUCUUGUUCAAUUAAUAGAGACAUUUAUGUAUUUAUAUAUUUAUUCAUUUUAAUUAAUUUAAUUUUAAUUCUCAUUUGUUGAUAAUGAAAAUUGGUUAUGUGACAAUUAAUCUAUUUUUGUAGAUAUUCAAUAAUUAUUUUAAUUUUAACUAUAAUACUCUUAUUUGUUUUUUUUUUGUUUUUUUUUUAAAAUAGAAAAGUCGUCGGAAUUUUGUCGGAAUUAAUUUCGGUAUAUAUUUAUUUUUAUUUUAAAAGUGGUUG
RNAcentral lists this long non-coding RNA (1187 nucleotides) under Arabidopsis lyrata. RNAcentral's name for it is "long non-coding RNA (ALYR_LNC001954)". The record is from RNAcentral. Lineage: Eukaryota; Viridiplantae; Streptophyta; Magnoliopsida; Brassicales; Brassicaceae.